CCCUUAGAGUUUGAUCCUGGCUCAGGACGAACGCUGGCGGCGCGCCUAACACAUGCAAGUCGAACGAGCGAGAGAGAGCUUGCUUUCUCGAGCGAGUGGCGAACGGGUGAGUAACGCGUGAGGAACCUGCCUCAAAGAGGGGGACAACAGUUGGAAACGACUGCUAAUACCGCAUAAGCCCACGGGUCGGCAUCGACCAGAGGGAAAAGGAGCAAUCCGCUUUGAGAUGGCCUCGCGUCCGAUUAGCUAGUUGGUGAGGUAACGGCCCACCAAGGCAACGAUCGGUAGCCGGACUGAGAGGUUGAACGGCCACAUUGGGACUGAGACACGGCCCAGACUCCUACGGGAGGCAGCAGCGGGGAAUAUUGCACAAUGGGGGAAACCCUGAUGCAGCGACGCCGCGUGGAGGAAGAAGGUCUUCGGAUUGUAAACUCCUGUUGUGAGGAAGAUAAAGACGGUACUCAACAAGG
This 470-nucleotide ribosomal RNA is filed under the name uncultured bacterium. Its description in RNAcentral is "bacterial SSU rRNA". It matches the Rfam family "Bacterial small subunit ribosomal RNA", at positions 1 to 487 of the family's 1533-position model. The record is from RNAcentral.